UCAACGUCUGAAAAACCUCUUCAAGUGGAACGUUCUCCAAAUCAACAGCUUCCUAUUUAUCCAUUUUUUACAAUACCCAUUUCUGUAUAUAUUCGAUCUUGAUCGAUUCGAUUUGCCCCUGUUCCUCUCUAUAAACAUGGGUUUUCUACGAUCUUUCUCUCUCUUUUGCCUAAUUUCUGUAGCUUUCGCUCAUGAAGCUUUCGAUUCUCAUCUCCUUCCGAG
Molecule: unclassified non-coding RNA, 222 nt
Filed under: Hevea brasiliensis (rubber tree)
Lineage: Eukaryota; Viridiplantae; Streptophyta; Magnoliopsida; Malpighiales; Euphorbiaceae
Source: RNAcentral